AUGGUAGGAUAGAGGCCUACCAUGGUGGUAACGGGUAACGGGGUGUUAGGGCACGACACCGGAGAGGGAGCCUGAGAAACGGCUACCACAUCCAAGGAUGGCAGCAGGCGCGCAAAUUACCCAAUCCCGACACGGGGAGGUAGUGACAAUAAAUAACAGUACGGGGUUCUUUAGGAUCUCGUAAUUGGAAUGAGUACAAUUUAAAUCUCUUAACGAGGAACAAUUGGAGGGCAAGUCUGGUGCCAGCAGCCGCGGUAAUUCCAGCUCCAAUAGCGUAUAUUAAAGUUGUUGCAGUUAAAAAGCUCGUAGUUGAAUUUCGGGGUCAGUAGGUCGGUCGUGCCACUGGUAUGAACUGGUUUUACUGAUUCCUCCCUCUUGAAGAACUGUAAUGCCAUUAAUUUGGUGUUGCAGGGAACCAGGACUGUUACUUUGAAAAAAUUAGAGUGUUUAAAGCAGGCUUUAGCUUGAAUACAUUAGCAUGGAAUAAUGAAAUAGGACGUUUGAUCCUAUUUUGUUGGUUUCUAGGAUUGACGUAAUGAUUAAUAGGGAUAGUUGGGGGCAUUAGUAUUCAAUUGUCAGAGGUGAAAUUCUUGGAUUUAUUGAAGACUAACUACUGCGAAAGCAUUUGCCAAGGAUGUUUUCAUUAAUCAAGAACGAAAGUUAGGGGAUCGAAGACGAUCAGAUACCGUCGUAGUCUUAACCAUAAACUAUGCCGACUAGGGAUCGGAUGAUGUUAAUUUUUUAAUGACUCAUUCGGCGCCUUACGGGAAACCAAAGUGUUUGGG
Molecule: ribosomal RNA, 785 nt
Filed under: uncultured Glomus
Lineage: Eukaryota; Fungi; Glomeromycota; Glomeromycetes; Glomerales; Glomeraceae
Description: SSU rRNA
Rfam family: Eukaryotic small subunit ribosomal RNA
Source: RNAcentral